GAAAGAGAAGAAGAGCGAAUGGGGGAUGCCUAGGCUUCUGGAGGCGAAGAAGGACGCGGACAGCUGCGAAAAUUCACGGGGAACUGCUAACAAGUUAAGAUCCGUGAGUAUCCGAAUGGGACAACCCGUAUAGUUGAAGACUAUACACCAACGAAAAGUUGGGGCAUACGUGGGGAACUGAAACAUCUUAGUACCCACAGGAAAAGAAAGAAUACUCGAUUCCCUUAGUAGUGGCGAGCGAAGAGGGAAGAGCCUAAACCAUAGUGAUUUCGGUCAUUGUGGGGUUGUAGGAGUAUCGCUGAAUGAUGAUAUAAAUGAACUGGAAAAUACUGGAAAGUAUUGGCGAAGAGGGUGAAACCCCCGUACAGGUAAGUUUAUGUUGUUGUUAGAUACCACCUGAGUAGGGCGGGACACGUGAAAUCCUGUCUGAAUCUGCGGCGACCAUGCCGUAAGGCUAAAUAGAUCCAGAAGACCGAUAGUGAACCAGUACCGUGAGGGAAAGGUGAAAAGAACCCUGAAUAAGGGAGUGAAAAAGACCCUGAAACCGUUCGUUUACAAGCGGUCGAAGCUCACAAGAUGAGCGACGGCGUGCCUUUUGCAUAAUGAGCCUACGAGUUACUUUAGUAUAGCGAGACUAAGUUGUUCAGCGACGAAGUCGAAGCGAGAGCGAGUCUGAAGAGGGCGUGUAGUUAUACUAAGUAGACGCGAAACCUAGUGAUCUACCCUUGUCCAGGAUGAAGUUGUCGUAACAGACAAUGGAGGUCCCAACCAGUUUCCGUUGAAAAGGAUUUGGAUGAGAUGAGGGUAGGGGUGAAAGGCUAAUCAAACUGGGAGAUAGCUCGUACUCCCCGAAAUGUCUUUAGGGACAGCCUCGACUAUGCUUUAUAGAGGUAGAGAUACUGAUAGGAUGCGAGGGCUUCACCGCCUAUCAAAUCCUGCCAAACUCCGAAUGCUAUAAAGUUAAGGUCGGGAGUGAGUUAGCGGGUGCUAAUAUCCGUUAGCGAAAGGGUAAGAGCCCAGCCCCUCGGCUAAGGCCCCCAAGCGCAGUAUAAGUUGAGACAGAACGAAGUGACAUCGCCUAGACAGCUAGGAUGUUAGCUUGGAAGCAGCUAUUCAUUCAAAGAGUGCGUAACAGCUCACUAGUCGAGCGAAGUUGCGUGGAUGAUGAGCGGGCAUCAAGACUGCCGCCGAAGCCAGGGACUGUAGUAGAGAUAUUACAGUGGUAGGGGAGCAUUGAUACCAGCGUAGAAGAUGUGAUGUGAGUCAUGUUGGAGCGGUAUGAAACGAAAAUGUAGGCAUAAGUAACGAUAAUGUAUGUAGAAACAUACACACCGAAAACCCAAGGUUUCCUGAGCAACGCUAAACGGCUCAGGGUAAGCCGGGGACUAAGCAAAACCCGAAAGGGGUAUGCGAUGUACAACCUGUUAAUAUUCAGGUGCUUGUUAUGCAGUUUGUGUAAGAGACCGAGAAGUGAAACUACCGCCACCUGACGGAAUAGGUGGUAUAAGGUCAAAGACGAAAGUUGAAGGCUGAAAGUACCGAGCGUAUUCGUACAAUCGGAUAGAGUAGGUAAGCAUGCUUGCAAGAAAAUCUUACCAAAGUUAAGCGUAUAACAACCCGUACUGUAAACCGACACAGGUGGGUGAGGAGAGAAUCCUAAGGUGCUCGAGUGAAUCACGGCUAAGGAACUAGGCAAAUUGACCCCGUAACUUCGGGAUAAGGGGACCCUAUCGAGAGGUAGGGCGCAGAGAAAUGGCCCAGGCGACUGUUUAUCAAAAACAUAUGGCUAUGCGAAAUCGAUAAGAUGACGAAUAUGGCCUGACACCUGCCCGGUGCUGGAAGGUUAAGAGGGGGGCUUAGCACGUAAGUGCGAAGGUCUGAAUCGAAGCCCCAGUAAACGGCGGCCGUAACUAUAACGGUCCUAAGGUAGCGAAAUUCCUUGUCGGGUAAGUUCCGACCUGCACGAAUGGUGUAACG
Molecule: ribosomal RNA, 1977 nt
Filed under: oral metagenome
Description: bacterial LSU rRNA
Rfam family: Bacterial large subunit ribosomal RNA
Source: RNAcentral